This 950-nucleotide long non-coding RNA is filed under the name Ananas comosus (pineapple). Its description in RNAcentral is "long non-coding RNA (ACOM_LNC024458)". The record is from RNAcentral. Lineage: Eukaryota; Viridiplantae; Streptophyta; Magnoliopsida; Poales; Bromeliaceae.
CUACUGUAAUCGAAGUCAGGUCGGAAUGACAAAGGUUAGUGAGACAAGUCUCACAUCUCCUGGUGAUCUUGGGCUGUGUGUGUGUUUAAGUCUGACGAGAAUGUCAGGGCCUAAACGGGGGGAGUCUGUGACACCCCAAUAGUCCCACAUCGGAUAGAUAUGACUAGGUGUGUGAGUAUAUAAGCUUGAUUGAGCUAGACAUAAAAACUGGGCUUAAGCAUUUUGGGCUAGUGGUUAGGGCUCAACUAGUUAUUAUUGCUAGUGGAUUGUGUCGUUACAUUUAGUAUCAGAGCCAGUUCACCAGCCAGAAGUGUGAGAUGAGUCUUGGCCGAGUCAGGGUCAAACAAACUAAGCUAGAGUCGGGCCCAACUAGUUAUUAUUGCUAGUGGAUCGGAUCGUUACAGUUGUUGAGAAUCAAAUCAAAUAAAUUGAAAUGUUGAGCAGCUAAAAUCGAAAUUUCUGAAUUGUUGGAUAGUGGAUUCAAAAUGAUCGAUUGAUUAGAUAAGUUAUUCUUGAAUAACUUAUUUCGACUUCCAAACAAUGAAUGUCGCAUGAAUUUCUCAACACAUUAAUAGUUGUAAGGAGUUUCAUUUUUGUUCUUUACGAUUUUGUUUUGAAGUUAGAAUAAGUUAAUCAAGUAUAACUUAUUUGAUUUAAGAAAUUUUUUUUAGUAUGAUUAUAAGAAAUGGGUUUCAUUUUUGCUCCUUGAAAGGUUUUGAUAUAUUCAAAAUAUGAUAGAAUAUCAUAUUUCAGCUAUAAGAUAAUUUAUCUUAUCUAAAAAAAUAAUUUGAGAGCCGAAGACGUUAUCUGAUGCUAAAUGUUUGAUGACAAUCAUUAUCUACUAAGUGUAGAAACUUCUUAAAUAAAUUAUUAAGAUGUAUCGAACAAAAUAUUCAUAUAUCUAAAUAGGACCUAAAAUAUCUUGCUUUUUAUGAUUUAUUAGGAUAGCA